AGUGAACGCUGGCGGUAGGCCUAACACAUGCAAGUCGAACGGCAGCACAGUAAGAGCUUGCUCUUACGGGUGGCGAGUGGCGGACGGGUGAGGAAUACAUCGGAAUCUACUUUUUCGUGGGGGAUAACGUAGGGAAACUUACGCUAAUACCGCAUACGACCUACGGGUGAAAGCAGGGGAUCUUCGCACCUUGCGCGAUUGAACGAGCCGAUGUCGGAUUAGCUAGUUGGCGGGGUAAAGGCCCACCAAGGCGACGAUCCGUAGCUGGUCUGAGAGGAUGAUCGGCGACACUGGAACUGGGACACGGUCCAGGCUCCUACGGGAGGCAGCAGUGGGGAAUAUUGGGCAAUGGGCGCAAGCCUGAUCCAGCCAUACCGCGUGGGUGAAGAAGGCCUUCGGGUUGUAAAGCCCUUUUGCUGGGAAAGAAAAGCAGCAGGUUAAUACCACGCUGUUCUGACGGUACCCAAAGAAUAAGCACCGGCUAACUUCGUG
Molecule: ribosomal RNA, 492 nt
Filed under: uncultured bacterium
Lineage: Bacteria
Description: partial 16S ribosomal RNA
Rfam family: Bacterial small subunit ribosomal RNA
Source: RNAcentral